UACGGAGGGUGCAAGCGUUAAUCGGAAUUACUGGGCGUAAAGCGUGCGCAGGCGGUUUGUUAAGUCCGUUGUGAAAGCCCCGAGCUCAACUUGGGAAUUGCAGUGGAUACUGGCAGGCUGGAGUACGGUAGAGGAAGGUGGAAUUCCCGGUGUAGCAGUGAAAUGCGUAGAUAUCGGGAGGAACACCAGUGGCGAAGGCGACUACCUGGCCUGUUCUUGACGCUGAGGCGCGAAAGCUAGGGGAGCAAACGGG
Molecule: ribosomal RNA, 253 nt
Filed under: uncultured bacterium
Lineage: Bacteria
Description: partial 16S ribosomal RNA
Rfam family: Bacterial small subunit ribosomal RNA
Source: RNAcentral